This 182-nucleotide ribosomal RNA is filed under the name Listeria monocytogenes. Its description in RNAcentral is "partial 16S ribosomal RNA". It matches the Rfam family "Bacterial small subunit ribosomal RNA", at positions 1 to 177 of the family's 1533-position model. The record is from RNAcentral. RNAcentral also lists the same sequence under 1 other name. Lineage: Bacteria; Bacillati; Bacillota; Bacilli; Caryophanales; Listeriaceae.
UUUAAAGAGAGUUUGAUCCUGGCUCAGGACGAACGCUGGCGGCGUGCCUAAUACAUGCAAGUCGAACGAACGGAGGAAGAGCUUGCUCUUCCAAAGUUAGUGGCGGACGGGUGAGUAACACGUGGGCAACCUGCCUGUAAGUUGGGGAUAACUCCGGGAAACCGGGGCUAAUACCGAAUGAU